RNAcentral lists this ribosomal RNA (1500 nucleotides) under Triticum aestivum (bread wheat). RNAcentral's name for it is "partial small subunit ribosomal RNA". Lineage: Eukaryota; Viridiplantae; Streptophyta; Magnoliopsida; Poales; Poaceae. The record is from RNAcentral.
AUGGAGACGGAGAUGGCGGCGCCGGCCAAGAUGUUCCCGCUGGCUGUGGACUCUGAGCACAAGGCCAAGUCCUUCAGGCUCUUCUCCUUCGCCGCCCCGCACAUGCGCGCCUUCCAUCUCUCCUGGAUGGCCUUCUUCGUCUGCUUCGUCUCCACCUUCGCCGCGGCGCCGCUCAUCCCCAUCAUCCGCGACAACCUUAACCUCACUAAGCGCGACAUCAGCAACGCCAGCGUGGCCUCCGUGUCCGGCUCCAUCUUCUCGAGGGUCGCCAUGGGCGUGGUGUGCGACCUCCUCGGCCCCCGCUACGGCUGCGCCUUCCUCGUCCUGCUCACGGCGCCCGCCGUGUUCUGCAUGUCCCUCGUCCACGACCCGGCGGGCUACAUCAUGGUGCGCUUCCUCAUCGGCUUCUCGCUCGCCACGCUCAUCUCCUGCCAGUACUGGAUGAGCACCAUGUUCAGCGGCAACAUCAUUGGCGCCGUCAACGGGCUUGCCGCCGGCUGGGGCAACGUCGGCGGCGGCGCCACGCAGCUCAUAAUGCCACUCGUCUACGAGGCCAUCCGCAGCAGGUGCGGCGCCACGCCCUUCUCGGCCUGGCGCGUCGCCUACUUCGGCCCCGGCACGCUGCACAUUGUCGUCGGCAUCAUGGUGCUCACGCUGGGGCAGGACCUCCCCGACGGCAACCUCUGGAGCCUGCAGAACAAGGGCCAAGUCGCCAAGGACAAGUUCGCCAAGGUGGCCUGGGGUGCCAUAACCAACUACCGUAGCUGGAUCUUCGUGCUCCUCUACGGAUACUCCGCUGGCGUCGAGCUCUGCACCAACAACGUCAUCGCCGAGUACUACUACGACCACUUCCACCUAGGCCUCCGCACCGCCGGCACCAUCGCCGCCAGCUUUGGACUCGCCAACAUUUUCGUGCGCUCCAUGGGCGGCUACUUCUCCGACGUCGGCGCGCGCUACUUUGGAAUGCGCGCCCGUCUCUGGAACAUUUGGAUCCUCCAGACCGCCGGCGGCGCCUUCUGCUUCUGGCUCGGCCGCGCCUCGAGCCUGCCCGCUUCCGUCACCGCCAUGGUCCUCUUCUCCAUCUGCGCCCAGGCCGCUGAGGGCGCCAUCUUCGCGGUCAUACCCUUCGUCUCCCGCCGCUCCCUCGGCAUCGUCUCGGGGAUGACCGGCGCCGGCGGGACCUUGGGCGCGGCCUUCAACCAGCUGCUCUUCUUCACCUCGUCCAAGUACGGCACUGGGCAGGGGCUCCAGUACAUGGGCAUAGUGACAAUGGCAUGCACGCUGCCAGUCAUGCUUGUGCAUUUCCCGCAGUGGGGCUCCAUGCUCUUCCCAGCCAACGUCGGCGCUGACGAGGACAAGUACUACGGCGCGGAGUGGUCGGAGGAGGAGAAGAGCAAGGGACUCAACGCCCGCACCGUCAAGUUCGCCCAGAACUGCCGAUCAGAGCGCGGCAGGCACCGCAACGCCAUCCUCGCCAACGACACCAACCAGCAUGCAUGA